This 702-nucleotide ribosomal RNA is filed under the name uncultured bacterium. RNAcentral describes it as "bacterial SSU rRNA". It matches the Rfam family "Bacterial small subunit ribosomal RNA", at positions 94 to 792 of the family's 1533-position model. The record is from RNAcentral.
AGCGGCGGACGGGUGAGUAAUGCCUAGGAAUCUGCCUGGUAGUGGGGGAUAACGUUCGGAAACGGACGCUAAUACCGCAUACGUCCUACGGGAGAAAGCAGGGGACCUUCGGGCCUUGCGCUAUCAGAUGAGCCUAGGUCGGAUUAGCUAGUUGGUGGGGUAAUGGCUCACCAAGGCGACGAUCCGUAACUGGUCUGAGAGGAUGAUCAGUCACACUGGAACUGAGACACGGUCCAGACUCCUACGGGAGGCAGCAGUGGGGAAUAUUGGACAAUGGGCGAAAGCCUGAUCCAGCCAUGCCGCGUGUGUGAAGAAGGUCUUCGGAUUGUAAAGCACUUUAAGUUGGGAGGAAGGGUUGUAGAUUAAUACUCUGCAAUUUUGACGUUACCGACAGAAUAAGCACCGGCUAACUCUGUGCCAGCAGCCGCGGUAAUACAGAGGGUGCAAGCGUUAAUCGGAAUUACUGGGCGUAAAGCGCGCGUAGGUGGUUUGUUAAGUUGGAUGUGAAAUCCCCGGGCUCAACCUGGGAACUGCAUUCAAAACUGACUGACUAGAGUAUGGUAGAGGGUGGUGGAAUUUCCUGUGUAGCGGUGAAAUGCGUAGAUAUAGGAAGGAACACCAGUGGCGAAGGCGACCACCUGGACUAAUACUGACACUGAGGUGCGAAAGCGUGGGGAGCAAACAGGAUUAGAUACCCUGGUA